AGCGUAGAAGGUAGUGCAAGUCUGAUGUGAAAGCCCGGGGCUCAACCCCGGGACUGCAUUGGAAACUGUAUAACUAGAGUGCAGGAGAGGUAAGUGGAAUUCCUAGUGUAGCGGUGAAAUGCGUAGAUAUUAGGAGGAACACCAGUGGCGAAGGCGGCUUACUGGACUGUAACUGACGUUGAGGCUCGAAAGCGUGGGGAGCAAACA
RNAcentral lists this ribosomal RNA (207 nucleotides) under uncultured Lachnospiraceae bacterium. RNAcentral describes it as "partial 16S ribosomal RNA". It matches the Rfam family "Bacterial small subunit ribosomal RNA", at positions 568 to 774 of the family's 1533-position model. The record is from RNAcentral. Lineage: Bacteria; Bacillati; Bacillota; Clostridia; Lachnospirales; Lachnospiraceae.